Molecule: long non-coding RNA, 912 nt
Organism: Hypanus sabinus (Atlantic stingray)
Lineage: Eukaryota; Metazoa; Chordata; Chondrichthyes; Myliobatiformes; Dasyatidae
Exons: 4
Source: RefSeq, a predicted model, not a curated record
UCCUCCAGACGGGUCAUGAAACUACUUCUUUCACUUCUUCUAUGCCUUUGUUUACUUUCAAAAGUGGUUCCGCUAUUGUUGGAACCUGUGAUCUACAUUUCAGUGGUGCGUUUUCAAGCUGAUUGAGCGAUAUGGUGCUCUGCUGUCUCUGAGGCUGGCGUGCAUCUUCAAGGUUUCUUGCUGUCAAGUGAGUAACCGGUAGAGCUGUCUCCUUCCCCACUCCCCACCCUCCCCGUAUCAUUAUCAUUGUCCUCUAUUCAUUGCAUCCAACCACACCUCCCCCCCCCACCCCCACAAGCCCCAGCCCCGGUAAUAAACCAAUGGAAGGAAAGAGAAGAAAUGAAGUGCCUGUGAGUCAUUCACCCAAGUAUCCUGUUCUCAGUGCAAUCGCUCAGACCCCAUUCCGAAAGAGGGCUUGCUUUGUAUGCAGAUCCCAGAAGGAGGUCCAAAAGCUUUUUGGGACCAAGAUGCUGCCUGGCCUGCUGCGUAUAUCCAACAUUUUCUGUUUGUGUUUCAGAUUUCCAGCAACUAGAGUGUUUCUUACCUCAAUAACUGCUAAAAAAAAAUCAGUGACAUUUUGAAGAAGAAGCUGUUCUUUUGAAUUUAACCAGAAACCAGAAUCCUCUUCUGCUUGAGAAAAGCUUCCAAUAGCAAGUGGCAUGGUAGUGUAAUGGUUGGUGCAAUAACUUUACAGCACCAGCGAUCAGUAAUCAUGUUUGCCUGAAAAGAGUUUGUACGUCCUGCCCAUGACCACAUGGGCUUCCUUUGGGUCCUCCGGUUUCCUCACACAUACCAAAGGUGAACAGUUAGGGUUAGUUAGUUGUGGAUAUACUAUAUUGACACCGAUGAUAUGGCAGCACUUGCAAACUGUCCCUGAUACACCCUUACUGAUUUGAUCUGAUGAAAGCUGCU